CGCCAGGGGGGCAGCUACACAUGCAGUCGAACGGUAGCACAGAGAGCUUGCUCUCGGGUGACGAGUGGCGGACGGGUGAGUAAUGUCUGGGAAACUGCCUGAUGGAGGGGGAUAACUACUGGAAACGGUAGCUAAUACCGCAUAACGUCGCAAGACCAAAGAGGGGGACCUUCGGGCCUCUUGCCAUCAGAUGUGCCCAGAUGGGAUUAGCUAGUAGGUGGGGUAACGGCUCACCUAGGCGACGAUCCCUAGCUGGUCUGAGAGGAUGACCAGCCACACUGGAACUGAGACACGGUCCAGACUCCUACGGGAGGCAGCAGUGGGGAAUAUUGCACAAUGGGCGCAAGCCUGAUGCAGCCAUGCCGCGUGUAUGAAGAAGGCCUUCGGGUUGUAAAGUACUUUCAGCGGGGAGGAAGGUGAUGAGGUUAAUAACCUUGUCGAUUGACGUUACCCGCAGAAGAAGCACCGGCUAACUCCGUGCCAGCAGCCGCGGUAAUACGGAGGGUGCAAGCGUUAAUCGGAAUUACUGGGCGUAAAGCGCACGCAGGCGGUCUGUCAAGUCGGAUGUGAAAUCCCCGGGCUCAACCUGGGAACUGCAUUCGAAACUGGCAGGCUAGAGUCUUGUAGAGGGGGGUAGAAUUCCAGGUGUAGCGGUGAAAUGCGUAGAGAUCUGGAGGAAUACCGGUGGCCAAGGCGGCCC
Molecule: ribosomal RNA, 700 nt
Filed under: Klebsiella oxytoca
Lineage: Bacteria; Pseudomonadati; Pseudomonadota; Gammaproteobacteria; Enterobacterales; Enterobacteriaceae
Description: bacterial SSU rRNA
Rfam family: Bacterial small subunit ribosomal RNA
Source: RNAcentral